AUUGAACGCUGGCGGCAGGCUUAACACAUGCAAGUCGAACGAGUGGCGGACGGGUGAGUAAUGCUUGGGAAUCUAGCUUAUGGAGGGGGAUAACUACGGGAAACUGUAGCUAAUACCGCGUACCAUAGGCUGAGCCCAAGUGGGAUUAGGUAGUUGGUGCGGUAAAGGCUCACCAAGCCGACGAUCUCUAGCUGGUCGGAGAGGCUGACCGGCCAAACUGGGACUGAGACACGGCCCAGACUCCUACGGGAGGCAGCAGUGGGGAAUAUUGGGCAAUGGGGGCAACCUGACGCAGCCAUGCCGCGUGAAUGAAGAAGGCUUUCGGGUUGUAAAGUUCUUUCGGUAGCGAGGCGUUAACUACAGAAGAAGCACCGGCUAACUCCGUGCCAGCAGCCGCGGUAAUAC
RNAcentral lists this ribosomal RNA (405 nucleotides) under uncultured bacterium. RNAcentral describes it as "partial 16S ribosomal RNA". It matches the Rfam family "Bacterial small subunit ribosomal RNA", at positions 30 to 526 of the family's 1533-position model. The record is from RNAcentral.